UUCAUCCUCUCAAGGUUUCUCUUUCAUUAUUCUCUCUCUUUUUUGUUUUUUAAUUUGUACUCCUUUCUAUUAAGUAUUCAUCAAGUGGGUGUGGAAUCUAAAAUUUAUUUUCUCCUGGACAACUUUGUGAAUCUAAAAUCCUCUUUUAUUUAUUAUUGUUUUGGAGUGAUUAAUUCACAAGAAAAGUCAAUGUGUUGGGUGGGGGAUUUGGGAGGUUUUUUGUUAACGACUAAGAACAAGGUUUAUUUUGCAAGUAGGUUUAUAGUUGUGAAUUUUGUUGUAGUUGGUUGUUGAUCAGUGGGUUUUUGCUGGAUUUCAUCUUUGGGUUGCUGAUUGAAGUAAUGAUGUAUCCGGUUGUAUUCCUAAGUGCAGUUUAACAAUUCUAAGUGUGAGAGUUUGAGUUCUUCUUAGUGUGACUGGCUAUGAAAUUUUCUAAGUGUGAGAGUUUGAGUUCUUCUUAGUGUGACUGGCUAUGAAAUUACGCUAUGCUGUGUAGUCUGUGUCUUUCUUUUCAAAGAUUUGAGUAUUUGAAAGUUCAUAUAUUCAUCUCUACUUCAUCAUUGCAUCUACAAUUGAGACUAAUCAAUUUUGAAUUAAAAGUAGGUCAAAUUAGUUCAUAAAGUACUUCUUUGUGUUGCUUACUUGAAAAUUUGUCAUCUUGUGAAUUUCAACUGUGCGUUUCUACAACAAGUUAUCAUAUUCUUGCCUAAAGAUAUGUUGUAUCAUACAUGUUGUAACUGCUGUGGCACUUUAAACAUCCCUUAAUGUGAUGCUCCCGUGAACGCAAACAAUGUAUAUUUUGUUCAAAAUGUAUGUAAAUUAAGUGUGUAUCACUUAGUAUGAAAUAUUUUGUCAAAGCAGGCCCAUGCUCAGCUUAUUCACCAAAUGAAAGAAUUAGAGCUUUUACAAAGGUAAAAAUGAAGUAAAAAACUCACAUCUGCCAUAUUCUUCAUCUUCUGUGUAGGAUCAAAAAUGCUUCUGACAAAGGCACCCAAAUCCAGAAAACUCUAUGAUAAACAUAAAAGUAACUACAACCAAAAUCAUGUUGGGCCUGUGCUGGCACAGGCCAUCAUCGCCUAGUUUAUAUAGAAAAGAGGAGAGAAGGAUUUACAAUAGCUAUAUGUGCAACAUGCAUGUAUAUAUAUAUAUAGCAAUUACAAACAAGAAACAAAAGAAAGCACAUCCUACACCUAGCUAGUUUUACAUUUGGUCUAUCAAUGUGCAACUACAUUUCAAUACAAGGUCUGAUACAGUGGGAAGUAGGAACUAACUUAUACUUAAUUGUUUGACUGGUCCAACAUCACUGCAAAUCUUAAUCCAUGAAUCACUACACAGGAUUUUAGCAUUUUGAAGCGUGUAGCCAUGAAAUAUGGGUAGUGGAUAUCCUCUACUAAGUUUUAAAUUUAUGUAUGGCAGUAUCACAGUCCGCAUUGCAGUUGACAUCAGCACCUGCAACAGUUUUCAGGAUUCGGGUCAGUUUUAUCAUCACCUAAAGAAAGGAACUGUCACAGAAAUGGGAUGAAACAAAUACGAGGGCCACUGCUUUAGCAUUUACAGAGGGCCAUUUGCUGUUCUAACUUAGAGCGGCAAAUGACUUGACUAGCAGAGAGACAGCAAAUCAUCAGAAAGGGAGACUACAAAUCGGCUUAGUAUCCUCCUUGAAUCAUCCAUGACUAGUUACAUACACACUAUUCACUACUGAAUGUAUUUAUCAUGCUAGCACUGAU
Molecule: long non-coding RNA, 1727 nt
Filed under: Nicotiana tabacum (common tobacco)
Lineage: Eukaryota; Viridiplantae; Streptophyta; Magnoliopsida; Solanales; Solanaceae
Description: long non-coding RNA (NTAB_LNC006148)
Source: RNAcentral